RNAcentral lists this ribosomal RNA (666 nucleotides) under Bacillus sp. (in: firmicutes). Its description in RNAcentral is "bacterial SSU rRNA". It matches the Rfam family "Bacterial small subunit ribosomal RNA", at positions 113 to 765 of the family's 1533-position model. Lineage: Bacteria; Bacillati; Bacillota; Bacilli; Caryophanales; Bacillaceae. The record is from RNAcentral.
ACACGUGGGCAACCUGCCUGUAAGACUGGGAUAAYUUCGGGAAACCGAAGCUAAUACCGGAUAGGAUCUUCUCCUUCAUGGGAGAUGAUUGAAAGAUGGUUUCGGCUAUCACUUACAGAUGGGCCCGCGGUGCAUUAGCUAGUUGGUGAGGUAACGGCUCACCAAGGCAACGAUGCAUAGCCGACCUGAGAGGGUGAUCGGCCACACUGGGACUGAGACACGGCCCAGACUCCUACGGGAGGCAGCAGUAGGGAAUCUUCCGCAAUGGACGAAAGUCUGACGGAGCAACGCCGCGUGAGUGAUGAAGGCUUUCGGGUCGUAAAACUCUGUUGUUAGGGAAGAACAAGUACAAGAGUAACUGCUUGUACCUUGACGGUACCUAACCAGAAAGCCACGGCUAACUACGUGCCAGCAGCCGCGGUAAUACGUAGGUGGCAAGCGUUAUCCGGAAUUAUUGGGCGUAAAGCGCGCGCAGGCGGUUUCUUAAGUCUGAUGUGAAAGCCCACGGCUCAACCGUGGAGGGUCAUUGGAAACUGGGGAACUUGAGUGCAGAAGAGAAAAGCGGAAUUCCACGUGUAGCGGUGAAAUGCGUAGAGAUGUGGAGGAACACCAGUGGCGAAGGCGGCUUUUUGGUCUGUAACUGACGCUGAGGCGCGAAAGCGUGGG